Molecule: ribosomal RNA, 508 nt
Filed under: uncultured bacterium
Lineage: Bacteria
Description: bacterial SSU rRNA
Rfam family: Bacterial small subunit ribosomal RNA
Source: RNAcentral
GAUCAUGGCUCAGGAUGAACGCUAGCGGCAGGCUAACACAUGCAAGUCGAGGGGCAGCGGGAUGUAGCAAUACAUGCCGGCGACCGGCGGAUGGGUGCGUAACGCGUAUGCAACCUACCUUAUACAGGGGAAUAACCUUUCGAAAGGGAGACUAACACCCCAUAGUAUUGAUUUAAGGCAUCUUAGAUUAAUUAAAUAUUUAUAGGUAUAAGAUGGGCAUGCGUAUGAUUAGCUAGUUGGUAAGGUAACGGCUUACCAAGGCGACGAUCAUUAGGGGUUCUGAGAGGAAGGUCCCCCACACUGGUACUGAGACACGGACCAGACUCCUACGGGAGGCAGCAGUGAGGAAUAUUGGUCAAUGGGCGCAAGCCUGAACCAGCCAUGCCGCGUGCAGGAAGACGGCCUUAUGGGUUGUAAACUGCUUUUACAUAAGACUAACCGUAUAUUUGCGAAUAUACCUGAAUGUAUUAUGAGAAUAAGGAUCGGCUAACUCCGUGCCAGCCGCUGC